GGCAAGUCUGGUGCCAGCAGCCGCGGUAAUUCCAGCUCCAAUAGCGUAUAUUAAAGUUGUUGCAGUUAAAAAGCUCGUAGUUGAAUUUCGGGGUUAGUAGGUUGGUCAUGCCUCUGGUAUGUACUGGUCUCACUGAUUCCUCCUUCCUGAUGAACCGUAAUGCCAUUAAUUUGGUGUUGCGGGGAAUUUGGACUGUUACUUUGAAAAAAUUAGAGUGUUUAAAGCAAGCUAACGCUUGAAUACAUUAGCAUGGAAUAAUGAAAUAGGACGUUCGAUCCUAUUUUGUUGGUUUCUAGGAUUGACGUAAUGAUUAAUAGGGAUAGUUGGGGGCAUUAGUAUUCAAUUGUCAGAGGUGAAAUUCUUGGAUUUAUUGAAGACUAACUACUGCGAAAGCAUUUGCCAAGGAUGUUUUCAUUAAUCAAGAACGAAAGUUAGGGGAUCGAAGACGAUCAGAUACCGUCGUAGUCUUAACCAUAAACUAUGCCGACUAGGGAUCGGAUGAUGUUAAUUUUUUAAUGACUCAUUCGGCGCCUACCCGGGGAAACA
RNAcentral lists this ribosomal RNA (546 nucleotides) under Rhizophagus intraradices. RNAcentral's name for it is "SSU rRNA". It matches the Rfam family "Eukaryotic small subunit ribosomal RNA", at positions 554 to 1099 of the family's 1831-position model. Lineage: Eukaryota; Fungi; Glomeromycota; Glomeromycetes; Glomerales; Glomeraceae. The record is from RNAcentral.